CCUUCCCCUAGAGGCACUGCAGCUGUGGCUGCUGUGUCACAGGUGGGUCAGUAGGUGGCAGAGGGGAGAGAGGUCAUGUCUAUGCUCAGUGCUCUGACUUGUGAAGAACAUCCGAAUGAUUGGAAAGUAGACUAACAUU
Meriones unguiculatus (Mongolian gerbil) is the source of this 139-nucleotide small nucleolar RNA. Lineage: Eukaryota; Metazoa; Chordata; Mammalia; Rodentia; Muridae. The record is from Ensembl.